Molecule: transfer RNA, 68 nt
Filed under: bovine gut metagenome
Rfam family: tRNA
About the family: Transfer RNA (tRNA) molecules are approximately 80 nucleotides in length. Their secondary structure includes four short double-helical elements and three loops (D, anti-codon, and T loops).
Source: RNAcentral
CGAGAUAGCUCAGUUGGUAGAGCAGCCGCUUCGUAAGCGGCAGGUCGUGGGUUCGACCCCCAUUCUCG